GACAAACGCUGGCGGCGUACCUAAGACAUGCAAGUCGAACGGGCGCUGGACCUUCGGGUCCGGUUGCGAGUGGCGGAUGGGUGAGUAACGCGUAGGAACCUGUCCUUCUGUGGGGGAUAACAGUGGGAAACCGCUGCUAAUACCGCAUGUGGUCAGUCAUCGAGAGGUGAUUGAAGAAAGGCGCAAGCCGCAGGAGGAGGGGCCUGCGUCCGAUUAGCUAGUUGGUGUAGUAAGGGUGCACCAAGGCGACGAUCGGUAGCUGGUCUGAGAGGAUGGUCAGCCACACUGGGACUGAGAUACGGCCCAGACUCCUACGGGAGGCAGCAGUUAGGAAAUUUUCACAAUGGGGGAAACCCUGAUGGAGUAACGCCGCGUGAGGGAAGACGGCCUUCGGGUUGUAAACCUCUUUUCUGUGGGAAGAGUAGAAGACGGUACCACAGGAAGAAGCCUCGGCUGACUACGUGCCAGCAGCCGCGGUAAUACGUAGGAGGCGAGCGUUGUCCGGAAUUACUGGGCGUAAAGAGCGCGUAGGCGGCACGGUACGACCUGUGUGAAAGCCCCCGGCUCAACUGGGGAGGGUCACAG
Molecule: ribosomal RNA, 585 nt
Filed under: uncultured bacterium
Lineage: Bacteria
Description: bacterial SSU rRNA
Rfam family: Bacterial small subunit ribosomal RNA
Source: RNAcentral